Molecule: long non-coding RNA, 167 nt
Organism: Etheostoma cragini (Arkansas darter)
Lineage: Eukaryota; Metazoa; Chordata; Actinopteri; Perciformes; Percidae
Exons: 3
Source: RefSeq, a predicted model, not a curated record
AUCACUUGGCCCACCAGACAUUUUUAGCUGUGUCCCAGUUGCACACUACAAACGGGUUCUAAGUGGAUUUGGUGCAUCGCCACCUUUAUGUGGAUUACAUAUCAGUGUUGAUGGUAGAUGUUGGCGAUUUAAGAAAUAACCUCGUCAGUAUUUGUAGAGAGGAGGAG